This is a long non-coding RNA of Drosophila innubila, 96 nucleotides long. RefSeq lists it as uncharacterized. The transcript has 2 exons. NCBI's taxonomy places the organism in Eukaryota, Metazoa, Arthropoda, Insecta, Diptera, Drosophilidae. The record is from RefSeq and is a predicted model, not a curated record.
AAAAACCAAGACGAAGACGAAGACGGCGACGAUUUCAUGUUGAACAUUUGACUUUCAAAAGUGCAAAUUUAUUAACAAGAACAGGAACAACAACAA